CCUACGGGAGGCAGCAGUAGGGAAUAUUGCUCAAUGGGGGAAACCCUGAAGCAGCAACGCCGCGUGAAGGAUGACGGUUUUCGGAUUGUAAACUUCUUUUGUUAGAGAAGAUAAUGACGGUAUCUAAGGAAUAUGCACCGGCUAACUCCGUGCCAGCAGCCGCGGUAAUACGGAGGGUGCAAGCGUUACUCGGAUUCACUGGGCGUAAAGAGCGCGUAGGCGGGAUAGCAAGUCAGAUGUGAAAUCCUAGGGCUUAACCAUAGAACUGCAUUUGAAACUGUUAGUCUAGAGUAUGGGAGAGGUAGGUGGAAUUCUUGGUGUAGGGGUAAAAUCCGUAGAGAUCAAGAGGAAUACUCAUUGCGAAGGCGACCUGCUAGAACAUAACUGACGCUGAGGCGCGAAAGCGUGGGGAGCAAACAGGAUUAGAUACCCGGGUAGUC
Molecule: ribosomal RNA, 440 nt
Filed under: uncultured bacterium
Lineage: Bacteria
Description: partial 16S ribosomal RNA
Rfam family: Bacterial small subunit ribosomal RNA
Source: RNAcentral